CCUACGGGUGGCAGCAGUGGGGAAUAUUGGGCAAUGGGCGCAAGCCUGACCCAGCAAUGCCGCGUGAAGGAAGAAGGCUUUCGGGUUGUAAACUUCUUUGACAGGGGAAGAGCAGAAGACGGUACCCUGAAAACAAGCCACGGCUAACUACGUGCCAGCAGCCGCGGUAAUACGUAGGUGGCAAGCGUUGUCCGGAUUUACUGGGUGUAAAGGGCGUGUAGCCGGGAAGGCAAGUCAGAUGUGAAAUCUGGAGGCUCAACCUCCAAAUUGCAGUUGAAACUGUUUUUCUUGAGUACUGGAGAGGCAGACGGAAUUCCUUGUGUAGCGGUGAAAUGCAUAGAUAUCACACAGAACACCGAGUGCGAAGGCAUCUCACGAAUCCGCGAUUGACGCUGAUGCACGAAAGCGUGGGUAUCAAACAGGAUUAGAUACCCCAGUAGUC
RNAcentral lists this ribosomal RNA (442 nucleotides) under uncultured bacterium. RNAcentral describes it as "partial 16S ribosomal RNA". It matches the Rfam family "Bacterial small subunit ribosomal RNA", at positions 338 to 795 of the family's 1533-position model. The record is from RNAcentral.